RNAcentral lists this ribosomal RNA (118 nucleotides) under Pteropus alecto (black flying fox). Lineage: Eukaryota; Metazoa; Chordata; Mammalia; Chiroptera; Pteropodidae. The record is from RNAcentral.
GUCUACGACCAUGACACCCUGAACAAGCCCGAUCGCAGCUAUCAAGGAAGCUAAGCAGGGUGGGGCCUGGUUAGUCCUUGGAUGGGAGACCACCUAGGAAGACAAGGUGCUGUAAGUG